Molecule: ribosomal RNA, 253 nt
Filed under: uncultured bacterium
Lineage: Bacteria
Description: partial 16S ribosomal RNA
Rfam family: Bacterial small subunit ribosomal RNA
Source: RNAcentral
UACGAAGGGGGCUAGCGUUGUUCGGAAUCACUGGGCGUAAAGGGCGCGUAGGCGGCCGAUCAAGUCGGGGGUGAAAGCCUGUGGCUCAACCACAGAAUGGCCUUCGAUACUGUUUGGCUUGAGACCGGAAGAGGUCAGUGGAACUGCGAGUGUAGAGGUGAAAUUCGUAGAUAUUCGCAAGAACACCAGUGGCGAAGGCGGCUGACUGGUCCGAUUCUGACGCUGAGGCGCGAAAGCGUGGGGAGCAAACAGG